ACUUCCCAUUUUAUCCCCAAUGAAAGUAAAAAAUUACUUUACUUUCCUUUCUUCAUUACUUCAGUCCGAAAAACCCAGAGUCUUUAGUUUCUGCACUCAGCUUUUCUAUUUUUCUUCAUUCCCCAGAAAACCCACACACAAUCUCAUUAAGAAAAAAAAAAAAAAAAUCCAUGCUCCAUCUCCCUGCAUCUCUUACCUCUUCUCUUGCAAACAUAUGAAAGACUAAGGAAAAUUUGCGUUUGAGGUGAGUGGUAGUUUUACAGAGGAGCUUCACUUGGAAAGUUUGCAGCAUCAAAUAGAAAGUGAUCUUAUGCCAAGUGCCCGAUGUGACCAAAGUGAUUCUUAUGGUAUCCUUUUAGUUAUAUGUUCUAUGGCGAAUUAUAUAAGUUAACUUCUUCUUUUUUUGUUUACAAUUAGUUAAUAUUUAAAAAAGAUGUUAUACCUACUA
Molecule: long non-coding RNA, 448 nt
Organism: Ziziphus jujuba (common jujube)
Lineage: Eukaryota; Viridiplantae; Streptophyta; Magnoliopsida; Rosales; Rhamnaceae
Exons: 2
Source: RefSeq, a predicted model, not a curated record